This 2543-nucleotide long non-coding RNA is filed under the name Sorghum bicolor (sorghum). Its description in RNAcentral is "long non-coding RNA (SBIC_LNC005403)". Lineage: Eukaryota; Viridiplantae; Streptophyta; Magnoliopsida; Poales; Poaceae. The record is from RNAcentral.
UCUUCGAACAACCUGCUUUUUCGAUGUCAAUGUUGAUCAACUGUCUUUUGAGUUGGUCAAAAUACCGUUGCAACUGUUCGGGCAACUUUCCUGAAGACGUCAAGCCUCACUGAUCGAAGAAGCUCAAGACGGCGUGUUACAUCAUAAUACAUGGUGCUUGGGGACUAGCUGUGGGGGUAUAAACCCCUAUACCCUUACGACUGGACUUGGGCCAGGAGGCUUGGCCCAUUACGAGACGAGUUCAAAGCUUGAUCCGACAACCUGGAGUUCCGCGCAAGGAAACAAGAUGUGGAGAUCAAGCAGGAUUUCUGGUCGGUUAGAAUAGGAAUUGAUAUCGAAUUAUCCAUGGCAAUUGUAACCGACUAGGAUUAGUUUCUAGAUCUGUAACCCUGCCCUCCAGACUAUAUAAGGAGGGGCAAGGGACCCCCUAGGACAGAUGAUCUCUCAACACAAUCCAAUACAACCAGACGCAGGACGUAGGUAUUACGCCAACUCGGCGGCCGAACCUGGAUAAAAAGCUUGUCCGUGUCUUGCGUCACCAUCGAGUUCGUAGUUUGCGCACCGUCAACCGAUAAACUACUACCGUGGGUAUACCCCAAGGUAGACUGCCGACUAGCUUUCGUCGACAGUUUGCUAUCAGUCUUUUGUAAUAAAUGCCUCAAGAUUAAUAAAGAAUAUUAUUAUUAUUAUUAUUAUUAUUAUUAUUAUUAUUAUUAUUAUUAUUAUUAUUAUUAUUAUUAUUAUUAUUAUUAUUAUUAUUAUUAUUAUUAUUAUUAUUAUUAUUAUUAUUAUGUCUUGUGUGUCUCCAUUUUAUUUUUGUAAGAAAGCAGAAAACAAGUAUGGGGGAGAUCCCUCAACAUGUCAAACACACUCCAACUCCACCAUUCAGGUACACACUCUGCACACUUUACUUUACACAUACAUUUAUUCUGGAUUAUGCAGAUUACUGUUUCCGACAUGAUAAAACAAAAGGAUUAAAAUAUUUCUAAUCAUGAUUAAUCUCAAUCUAUGAUAUUUCCUGAAAACUUGCAAUUAUUAUAAAAUCAUUUUAAAACCCUGUGUUACUUAAGUCAAUAUGGAAUAUGUGAUGGUAGAGUAUGAGUUUCUUAUUCUUGAUAUCAUUGUUACUUGGAGAAUUUAUUUCAAAAUAUUCAAAUUUCUAGCUACCAUCCUCAGUGUUUUAUAUGCCUGAUGAAACUGAAAAUAUUAAGUAUGAUUAUAAAAGCUAUCUGCUCUGUAUUGAGUUUGUUCAAAAUGAGUUAGACCCUUGUUGAGAGAUUUAUCAUGCUCCUAAGAUCAAGACAUUAUUUCAGAAAGAUUCACUCUUCCGAAGUAUUAUUGCAUUAGAGGCAUAGACUAUGCAAAAAAAUAGAAAUAUUUCGAGGAAAUAAAAAGGAGCAAGUGCUCGACAACCUCACAGAAAAAAUGGACAAGUGUCCGGCAGUAGAAUUAGGGGUACCUCGGUAUCCACUUAAAAAAAGAAAAAAAAUGAUAGCCCAUGGUCCCUCUAAUAAGCAAUAUGCCAGCAAGAGUUGACAAAGUUUUUAAUUUCCAAAGUCUUUGAUCUAAGAGUAUGACAUUCCCCUCCUCGGAUCCCGUUUUGAUCAGGCAAUAAAUGCAAAGUAAGUAUGCUUGAGAAUUUUUGCAAAUUAAAACAACCUCAGUGAGAUAUAUAUAUAAAAGAUAAUGAGUGAUCUGAGAGAACCUGUGAGGAUCAAAAAGGUAUUCUAACUUUCUUUCAAAAAUAUACAAAAACUCCAAGUGGCAGGAUUGAGAAGAAAGGAUCUUUACUCUUAACCAUAUACUUCCCUGACUACAAUACACAGUGGAUUUUUUACAACCUGCAAUUAUAAAGAGAAUGUUUUAAAUGUUUACCCUAGAUAUUGUUCUUAACCAUCCUUUUCUCGAGGACGAGUAAAAGCCUAAGUAUGGGGGUAUUUGUUGACGGUUCUUAAGUAUCAAUUUUAAUUAUCAAAUAAACAAGAGAAAGGACCAAUAUGCAACCAACACCUAGAAUUAGGGUUUGAUCUAACAGAAUUCCACGAGUUUUGUUGUUUAUCUGUUUCUGCAGGGGGUUAUCAGGAAAUAAGGAAGAAAGGCCCACAUGUCGGGAUUACAUAUAGAUAUUAACGCACCGUGCAAUUUUCUACCAUCUAGAAGACUCCAGAAGCCACGGGAUCGAACGGGAAGGCAAUCGAGCCCGGGGCCAGGCCCAGGGCGCCCCCCCUCUGGAGCCAGAUCAGGACUCUCUUCGCUCGGGAUAUUCCACCGACCUAUUGGAUCAAGAAAAACAUAGUACCACCUCGCCUAUCGACCCAAAAACGCAUAGAAGGGGAGGACUAUAUAAGCAAGGCCCCCCUGGCCCCUGGAGAAGACAUGAAGAAAUUAUCAUAGAAACUGAGGGGUGCCCUCGAAGGAAAACCUCUUCUCUAAUUAAUGUUUCUUUUUAGGCUUAGCAAUCAAUGUAAGGUAGAAAUAGAUCUUCUAGUUUCUACUAGAUUGAGAGCGAUAGAGUGGAGGUGUAGAGUGGAGGAAGCCCGGCC